RNAcentral lists this ribosomal RNA (471 nucleotides) under uncultured Lachnospiraceae bacterium. RNAcentral's name for it is "bacterial SSU rRNA". It matches the Rfam family "Bacterial small subunit ribosomal RNA", at positions 306 to 776 of the family's 1533-position model. Lineage: Bacteria; Bacillati; Bacillota; Clostridia; Lachnospirales; Lachnospiraceae. The record is from RNAcentral.
GGCCACAUUGGGGAUUGAGACAACGGACCCAAACUCCUACGGGAGGCAGCAGUGGGGGAAUAUUGGACAAUGGGGGGAAACCCUGAUCCCAGCGACGCCGCGUGAGUGAAAGAAGUAUUUCGGUAUGUAAAGCUCUAUCAGCAGGGAAGAAAAAUGACGGUACCUGACUAAAGAACCCCCGGGCUAACUACGUGCCAGCAGCCGCGGUAAUACGGUAGGGGGGCAAGCGUUAUCCCGGAUUUUACUGGGUGUAAAGGGGAGCGCAGACGGCAAUGCAAGUCUGAAGUGAAAAGGCGUGGGGCUCAACCCAUGAACUGCUUUUGGAAAACUGUAUAGCUUGAGUGUCGGAGGGGUAAGCGGAAUUCCUAGUGUAGCGGUGAAAUGCGUAGAUAUUAGGAGGAACACCGGAGGCGAAGGCGGCUUACUGGACGACAAUGACGUUGAGGCUCGAAGGCGUGAGGAGCAAACAGG